RNAcentral lists this long non-coding RNA (177 nucleotides) under Rhagoletis pomonella (apple maggot). RNAcentral describes it as "uncharacterized LOC118741059". The record is from RNAcentral. Lineage: Eukaryota; Metazoa; Arthropoda; Insecta; Diptera; Tephritidae.
AUUUUGCAUUUAUUAGAUAAUUUCCUUAGUGUUUUCCUGGCCGACCUGUGCUGGUAUUGUAAUUAAGAGCUAAUACACCAUUCUCUGGUGAACUGCAGCUGCGGCCGAAUUUGAUUGUGUGCAUCAUCCUGCAGAUAUUUUGAAAUUUUGUGGACGCUUCUGCUGUGCUGCGUUCCU